RNAcentral lists this long non-coding RNA (544 nucleotides) under Ursus thibetanus thibetanus. RNAcentral's name for it is "lncRNA (ENSUTTG00000019391.1)". Lineage: Eukaryota; Metazoa; Chordata; Mammalia; Carnivora; Ursidae. The record is from RNAcentral.
CCGAACCCUGAGAAGGAUGAGUGCUGAGGAAUGCGGCUCCAUCAGGCCCAGACGUCCGGGUCACAGGUGGAGGACGACCACGGGGCCCCUGAUGCAGGUUUGCACCAGAGCAGCCACCCAGAGACCACCCCAGGUGGGGAGCUGCCAACACAGCCCUGGCGAGAUGGCUGCCGCCUGCCUACGAAGACGGCAUCAGUGAGCCCAGAGGGUGGAACCCCCACUUCCUGUACAACGGCUUCCCACUGCCCCCGGUAUCCAUCCCACAGGACAUGCUGGUCUCUCUCACCAGGUCCGGGAGGUGACUAGACAAGUCAUCCAGGUCCCCAACGAGGCCGUCACAGAGGAUGACCAAUAUUCUGACCUCCUGAUGGUGUGGGGGCAGUAUAUUGAUCACGACAUCGCGUUCACACCUCAGAGUACUAGCAAAGCUGCAUUUGGGGGAGGAGCUGAUUGCCAGCUGACCUGUGAAAACCAAAACCCAUGUUUUCCCAUACAGGUAGAAUCUUAAAUUUUUUAUUGUUUAUUAUGAAAGUAACAGAUGUCA